GUAAGCACAACACUCCAAACAUAUACCUCACGUGCAGACACACAAUAUUCAAAUAGGCAAAACAAAAUCACCAAAAUCACAACACUAGACAAAAACUUCACGAUGGUAGAACAUUAUUCGUAGAAUUGUGGUGUCAAGGUUUAUAAGCUCUGUGUUUGGAAUCAAAAGGUCAAUGCAGAUGUCCUUGGGAAGCCUAGAGCAAAGGAAUAUGCGAGUGUCAGG
Molecule: long non-coding RNA, 222 nt
Filed under: Capsella rubella
Lineage: Eukaryota; Viridiplantae; Streptophyta; Magnoliopsida; Brassicales; Brassicaceae
Description: long non-coding RNA (CRUB_LNC002703)
Source: RNAcentral